UAGGGAAUCUUUUGCAAUGGACGAAAGUCUGACCGAGCAACGCCGCGUGAGUGAAGAAGGUUUUCGGAUCGUAAAACUCUGUUGUUAGAGAAGAACAAGGACGUUAGUAACUGAACGUCCCCUGACGGUAUCUAACCAGAAAGCCACGGCUAACUACGUGCCAGCAGCCGUGGUAAUACGUAGGUGGCAAGCGUUGGCCGGAUUUAUUGGGCGUAAAGCGAGCGCAGGCGGUUGCUUAAGUCUGAUGUGAAAGCCCCCGGCUCAACCGGGGAGGGUCAUUGGAAACUGGGCUGCUUGAGUGCAGAAGAGGAGAGUGAAAUUCCAUGUGUAGGGGUGAAUUGCGUAGAUAUAUGGAGGAACACCGGUGGCGAAGGCCGCUCUCUGGUCUGUAACUGACGCUGAGGAUAGAGAGUGUGGGGAGCAAACAGG
RNAcentral lists this ribosomal RNA (429 nucleotides) under Gemmatimonadota bacterium. RNAcentral's name for it is "Gemmatimonadetes bacterium partial 16S ribosomal RNA". It matches the Rfam family "Bacterial small subunit ribosomal RNA", at positions 355 to 776 of the family's 1533-position model. The record is from RNAcentral. Lineage: Bacteria; Pseudomonadati; Gemmatimonadota.